Molecule: ribosomal RNA, 669 nt
Filed under: uncultured bacterium
Lineage: Bacteria
Description: bacterial SSU rRNA
Rfam family: Bacterial small subunit ribosomal RNA
Source: RNAcentral
GGGACAACCCGCCGAAAGGCGGGCUAAACCCGCGUACAUGCCACCGGGGCAUCCCGGAGGCAGGAAAGGCUUCGGCCGGACAGGGAUGGGCAUGCGGCGCAUUAGGCAGUAGGCGGGGUAACGGCCCACCUAACCGACGAUGCGUAGGGGUUCUGAGAGGAAGGUCCCCCACACUGGUACUGAGACACGGACCAGACUCCUACGGGAGGCAGCAGUGAGGAAUAUUGGUCAAUGGUCGGGAGACUGAACCAGCCAAGCCGCGUGAGGGAUGAAGGUACAGAGUAUCGUAAACCUCUUUUGUCAGGGAACAAAGGCGGGGACGUGUCCCCGGAUGAGUGUACCUGAAGAAAAAGCAUCGGCUAACUCCGUGCCAGCAGCCGCGGUAAUACGGAGGAUGCGAGCGUUAUCCGGAUUUAUUGGGUUUAAAGGGUGCGCAGGCGGUCUGUUAAGUCAGCGGUCAAAGCCCGGGGCUCAACCCCGGCCCGCCGUUGAAACUGGCAGUCUCGAGUUGGAGAGAAGUAUGCGGAAUGCGCGGUGUAGCGGUGAAAUGCAUAGAUAUCGCGCAGAACUCCGAUUGCGAAGGCAGCAUGCCGGCUCCACACUGACGCUGAGGCACGAAAGCGUGGGUAUCGAACAGGAUUAGAUACCCUGGUAGUCCACGCAGUAAAC